CAUUAAGCUUUCCUUUCUAACAGCCACACCCAAAUUAUCUGGUAACAGUUCUUCCGUACGUAUCUUUUCCCCACCAACUUUCCAAUGUCAAACCUUCUCCCUCGUCUUCUAUUUGUACGACAUAGCCCAUGCUAUUUGGGUUUCCUUCCAUUACCCCUACAUGGUGAAUUUUUCCUCAUUUGUUUGUUGUCUUCUCAACAUUCAUCCUUGGGUGGGUAAUAUAGGUAAUUUAAUCCGGAUGCAAUGAUAAAGCUUAGAGCUGGUUUACAGGACAAGCUAUUUCCCUACUUGUGUGCCUGCUAUCGGAAUUGAUUGCUGAUGGCUGGUUUAGUUGAAGUGAACGUUCCUGUGUCAGAGGCCUUUCUUCAGUGGCCCCUGCAAAGUGUCUACAAGGUAUGUUAGUGCUCUGUUUUACAGUCAGCUUGGAAAAAAAUGGAAGA
Long non-coding RNA from Coffea eugenioides, 440 nucleotides. RefSeq lists it as uncharacterized. The record is from RefSeq and is a predicted model, not a curated record. The transcript has 2 exons. Lineage: Eukaryota; Viridiplantae; Streptophyta; Magnoliopsida; Gentianales; Rubiaceae.